UACGUAGGCAGCGAGCGUUGUUCGGAGUUACUGGGCGUAAAGCGUGCGUAGGCGGUUUUGUAAGUUUGGUGUGAAAUCUCCCGGCUCAACUGGGAGGGUGCGCCGAAAACUGCAAGGCUGGAGUGUGGGAGAGGUAGGCGGAAUUCCUGGUGUAGAGGUGAAAUUCGUAGAUAUCAGGAGGAACACCAGUGGCGAAGGCGGCUUCCUGGACACCAACUGACGCUGAGACGCGAAAGCGUGGGGAGCAAACAGG
RNAcentral lists this ribosomal RNA (253 nucleotides) under uncultured bacterium. Its description in RNAcentral is "partial 16S ribosomal RNA". It matches the Rfam family "Bacterial small subunit ribosomal RNA", at positions 524 to 776 of the family's 1533-position model. The record is from RNAcentral.